GGCAGAUGGGCUCAGCGGGCUUUUCGGGUCGUGAAAGAAGGGAAGGCUAAAGAGUGCUACCGCUGAGAGGAGGCGGCUAGGCGGCGGGGGCGCGCCGUCGAGGAGGAGGAAGGGGCGGUCGAGCCGCCGCGGGCGAGGUACAGGGCGAUGAUGCGGGCACUGCUCCAAAGUGCCAAGCUGCGCGACUCGUGCGGCCACUUGACCCCGCACUCGUAGCACGGCCUCUUCUUCCGGAAGCACUAACUCGCGAAGCCGUUCAUGGAGUUCUGCGAGCUGAGGCCCUAGGUGCCUGAGCAGGGGGAGCAGCUGGCGUAGCGGAUGCACGUGAGAGAGUUCCUCCUUCGGUAGGGGUAGGGGCUGGUCAGGCGAUAGUGGUUCCUAUUGCACCAGUAGGUCUAGCUGCCGCAGGAGAUGCAGUUCUAACAACUAGGGAUGGCACGAAGUAUACCGCACCUCUUAGGGUAAAAACGUCAGUAAGUUGAACGCGUCUGUUGAUACUCUUCACUCGAACCUUUCUAUUGGAACCUGUUCUGAAAACUUCUCUCUCUGUGUAACUUACUCUUCUAGCACUCCAGGUAUUUACUCCGAAGCUGUCUGACCCCGAACUUCACAGAAGCAAUACUCUAGUCCCUGUAAAGAGGAGGUGGCCCGCACUUCUUACGAUACCUCUACGUUCGUCUCCGUCUUUCCUCUUUCGCACGAGUUUAAGAGGUCAGUCUUCCCCGAUACAACCUAGUCCGUUUGGCGCGUUUCCCACUCCGACUUCGCUAAGAGAGGUUCAGUGUUCGAUGGCGGCUUCCCUAAUCUUACCAGAGUCUCAGGUACUCUCGACUUCCGUCACGACUCCGACGUUUUGACUCUUAACGACUUGUCAUGUAGUGUCGUAAACGACGAGACCGGUUCUUGUGGUGCUGUUACGAAGAAGGUUCGCUGCGACCGUUGGGUAGUAGAUACUAUCGGGUCAGAGAGGUCUAUAUGUUCGUGUAUUCGGUCAGGUCGUCGGGCUUUCCUCCCUUGGUUGUCCGUCUUCUUCAACUCCUUCGUCCUGGGGUUCUUCUCCCGCUAUGCAAGCCGGACGGAAGACACUGGUCGCGCUACGGUGGGUCGUGCGUUUGUCCGGUACCGUCGUGCAAGAGGGACGUCUUCGCAUUUCUUACUAGUCGGACAAGUUCAUGGCUUCCCUUGGGAAAAAUCUAUCCUCCCACAGUGACUUUUGUCGUCGUCGUAAACUCCAAAGCUCGAAUUAAGUACACUACAACUCAACCGAAUCCAACUAUACCAUUAACUGGACUGUAAUCAAUAGGUCCGCGGUUUACGUUUCCUCCGAUCCGCUGACCCCUCUAAAACUGCCGUCGGACGUUCUGAACACAUUACGUUCAUAUAGCGAGUGCUACGGUCGUAUGAGAACUACCGUUAUAAAGUGACGUCGGAAAAUAAGCACACAAGGCUACAGUCAAAAUGUACAAGUGUCAAACGUACAGCAGGAUGAGAUAAAUGAAGACGUUACCAAAAUGAGACCUUAAAGCAAGUCUCAGCCACCGUUCUAAAGAGAUGCCUAGACCUAAGAUGGUUACUAACCG
This 1580-nucleotide ribosomal RNA is filed under the name Triticum aestivum (bread wheat). RNAcentral's name for it is "partial small subunit ribosomal RNA". Lineage: Eukaryota; Viridiplantae; Streptophyta; Magnoliopsida; Poales; Poaceae. The record is from RNAcentral.